RNAcentral lists this transfer RNA (63 nucleotides) under Mnais pruinosa. Its description in RNAcentral is "tRNA-Gly". The record is from RNAcentral. RNAcentral also lists the same sequence under 1 other name. Lineage: Eukaryota; Metazoa; Arthropoda; Insecta; Odonata; Calopterygidae.
ACUUAUAUAGUAUAUAAAGUAUAAUUGACUUCCAAUCAAUAGGACUGUAAAACAGUAUAAGUA